Molecule: long non-coding RNA, 844 nt
Organism: Strigops habroptila (Kakapo)
Lineage: Eukaryota; Metazoa; Chordata; Aves; Psittaciformes; Psittacidae
Exons: 3
Source: RefSeq, a predicted model, not a curated record
CUCGCCGCCUCGUACAGCCGGAUCUGCCCGUUCCCGAAGCCGGCGGCCACCGUCCCGUGCCACAGCGCCACGGAGGAGCAGGCUCCCCGCGUCGUCGGCGCUCACCAGGCCUCCAGCCCCGUCCUGCAGAGCAGAGCUGGGUCAGGCUCCCGCUGCCCCGGCUGCUGCAGGGCACGGCCAGGCCCUGCAGCGGGACCAGGUUAUAGUUUAACCGCUGCUGGUUUAACCAGGGAGCAGGGCUGGCACCGGGCGCCGGGGCCUCCGUCUGAACACGCUCGUGUUGGGCAACGCCGAUGACACACGGCGUGACUUUCGAGGACAGCUCUCAGGGAAUGAGGCUCCAUGUCCAGGCUCAUUGGGAACCUGUUAGAGAAAGUUCAAUGGAGCUGAUUACGGAGGGUGCAAGGAAGCGGCCUCGCUGAGGAAGUGGUCAAUGAUGAGGAACCCAACUGGUGCGUCUGCAGAGGUGUCAGACGAAGCUGCACUGAGGGAAGCCCCAUCCCAGCCCUGGACUGUGCUUCAACAGCGCUUCCCGUGCUCCAGCCCUUGGCCUGAUGGAUCCCGAUGGGUCCCGGGACCCCCUGAGCCAGCAGCGAGACUGUCAGUGAGGGAUCAGCUCCCUUGGGUUGAGCCUCAGCCCACCGAGGGACACGGGCACCGAGGGACACGGGCACCGAGGUGCUGGGGCAGCAGAGCCCAGCGGUGCCAAUAGAAAUGGGGACAACUGGGGGGUAGCUGCUCCCUGCAGCAGAGGGAACAGCCCUGGUGGGGCCCCUCAUGCAGAGACACCCCCAAACCCAACAGUCCUGAACCCCCCUGGUGCUGGGACCCCCGGGACGUACCG